AACCCUCGACCUUAGUUGCCAGCAUUCAGUUGGCACUCUAAGGUGACUGCCGGCUAAAAGUCGGAGGAAGGUGGGGGAUGACGUCAAAUCAUCGUGCCCCUUAUGACCUGGGCUACACACGUGCUACAAUGGGCGGUACAAAGGGUCGCGAACCCGCAGGGGGAGCCAAUCCCAAAAAGCCGCUCUCAGUUCGGAUUGCAGGCUGCAACUCGCCUGCAUGAAGCCGGAAUCGCUAGUAAUCGCGGAUCAGCAUGCCGCGGUGAAUACGUUCCCGGGCCUU
Molecule: ribosomal RNA, 280 nt
Filed under: uncultured Anoxybacillus sp.
Lineage: Bacteria; Bacillati; Bacillota; Bacilli; Caryophanales; Anoxybacillaceae
Description: partial 16S ribosomal RNA
Rfam family: Bacterial small subunit ribosomal RNA
Source: RNAcentral